UCAGUACUUUCUCACCGCCAUUAACUCCCAUCCAAACCCUAACGCCUUCUCAUCUAACAAAUCGAAGAAGCCUCGAAUUAAUCUGCAAGUGCCAGGAUUGUAUGUUGGUGUAUUCCUGCAUUUUACCGUUCUUGCACUAUCUACCGGUCUUAGAUGCAACUACCCAUGUCCAAGAUAUGUGGAGUAUAGAGUAUAGAUUGCAUAUUUGAUAAAUUGUGAUCUGUAAGUUUCAUAUUUCAAAUUGUUUAUUGUUUUUAAGUGUGAUAUAAUUCCUAUGGUUGAAUUUUACAAAAUUGAGGUAGAGAGAAGCUAUUUCCAGAUUCAUUCGGAACAUCUUGCAAUGAGGGAAAGGGUCCUCAGAUUACUACAUCCAAGUACGAUCAUGCGAGCAUAGGUAUUGAGUUGCUUGGACAUCCUAAUGGUCAAAUAUUGGGGAGAAUAUGAGAAUGGAGGGUUAAUAGAAUAGGUGAAGCGAUCUUGGAAUGUAGUUUUGUAGGAUAAUUUUAACACUUCAUAUUUGAAUAUUGUAUGACUUCUAUUUCAUUGAAAGUAUUAAGUAAAUUGAUGAUAUGAUAGUUUUUUUACUUCGUA
Molecule: non-coding RNA, 591 nt
Organism: Salvia hispanica
Lineage: Eukaryota; Viridiplantae; Streptophyta; Magnoliopsida; Lamiales; Lamiaceae
Source: RefSeq, a predicted model, not a curated record